Molecule: long non-coding RNA, 266 nt
Filed under: Elaeis guineensis (African oil palm)
Lineage: Eukaryota; Viridiplantae; Streptophyta; Magnoliopsida; Arecales; Arecaceae
Description: long non-coding RNA (EGUI_LNC037249)
Source: RNAcentral
CCUAAGUGGCUGAUCAGGCUUAUCCCGAUGUCAUACAACGACUACUCUUCAAGGAGCUCCCGCUGUGGAGGGAUCAGGAUGCUGAACAGCUUGUCAUAUUACUCUCGAUCUUCAGUCAGAACCAUAUCAUUCUUGUUCGGAGACAGAUUGGGAGUGGUUUAGGUCCAGCUAAAGCUCCAAAGGUGGUUGGCAGCUAUAUAAAAAAAUUUAUUCUUCCACCUAUAGAUGGAAAAAGGAAGUCCAGUGAUAAACUGACAUUUAGGCCC